CAUGCAAGUCGAGCNGNGGUUAUUUAGAAGCUUGCUUCUAAAUNACCUAGCGGCGGACGGGUGAGUAACACGUAGGCAACCUGCCCACAAGACAGGGAUAACUACCGGAAACGGUAGCUAAUACCCGAUACAUCCUUUUCCUGCAUGGGAGAAGGAGGAAAGGCGGAGCAAUCUGUCACUUGUGGAUGGGCCUGCGGCGCAUUAGCUAGUUGGUGGGGUAANGGCCUACCAAGGCGACGAUGCGUAGCCGACCUGAGAGGGUGAUCGGCCACACUGGGACUGAGACACGGCCCAGACUCCUACGGGAGGCAGCAGUAGGGAAUCUUCCGCAAUGGGCGAAAGCCUGACGGAGCAACGCCGCGUGAGUGAUGAAGGUUUUCGGAUCGUAAAGCUCUGUUGCCAGGGAAGAACGUCUUGUAGAGUAACUGCUACAAGAGUGACGGUACCUNAGAAGAAAGCCCCGGCUNACUACGUGCCAGCAGCCGC
This 486-nucleotide ribosomal RNA is filed under the name Paenibacillus sp. P245. RNAcentral's name for it is "bacterial SSU rRNA". It matches the Rfam family "Bacterial small subunit ribosomal RNA", at positions 54 to 518 of the family's 1533-position model. Lineage: Bacteria; Bacillati; Bacillota; Bacilli; Caryophanales; Paenibacillaceae. The record is from RNAcentral.